UUAACAAAAACAUGUCCUUUUGAUUUUUAUUUAAGGUCUGAUCUGCUCAAUGAAAUUUAAAUUGCCGCAGUAUUUUAACUGUGCGAAGGUAGCAUAAUAAUUAGUUUCAUAAUUGGAAGCUGGAAUGAAUGAUUGGACGAGAAAGUUUCUGUCUCAUUUUAAUUUUUUAUUGAAUUUUAUUUUUAAGUCAAAAAGCUUAAAUAAAUAUGAAAGACGAGAAGACCCUAUAGAGUUUAAUAUUAAAUUUUAAUAAUACUUUAGUAAUAAAUUUUAGGUUUUAAUAUUUGGUUGGGGUGACUUGGAGAUUAAUUUAAUUCUCUAAAUUUUUAAUUGAUGAUGUUUAAUUUUUAAAUCUGUAAAUUAUAAGUAUAAAAAUAAUUACCUUAGGGAUAACAGCGUAAUUUUUCUUAAAAGUUCUUAUUUAAAGAAGAUUUUGCGACCUCGAUGUUGGAUUAAAAUUAAUUUUUGGUGCAGUAACUUAAAAAUUAGGUCUGUUCGACCUUUAAAAUUUUACAUGAUCUGAGUUUAAACCGGUGUAAGCCAGGUUGGAUUCUAUCUUUAGUUAAUUAAUUCAUUUUAGUACGAAAGGACCAAGUGUUUAUUAGAUAUUAAUUG
This 615-nucleotide ribosomal RNA is filed under the name Macrolycus testaceicollis. RNAcentral describes it as "partial 16S large subunit ribosomal RNA". It matches the Rfam family "Bacterial large subunit ribosomal RNA", at positions 1804 to 2716 of the family's 2925-position model. Lineage: Eukaryota; Metazoa; Arthropoda; Insecta; Coleoptera; Lycidae. The record is from RNAcentral.